RNAcentral lists this unclassified non-coding RNA (350 nucleotides) under Hevea brasiliensis (rubber tree). The record is from RNAcentral. Lineage: Eukaryota; Viridiplantae; Streptophyta; Magnoliopsida; Malpighiales; Euphorbiaceae.
UCCGGGAGAGCAAGGUCGCCAAGGGAUGAAAGGUGAUGCUGGAGAGCCAGGACUUCCAGGCCGAACAGGAACCCCAGGAUUACCUGGCCCACCAGGACCAAUGGGACCUCCAGGAGACAGAGGCUUCACUGGAAAAGACGGUGCAAUGGGACCCAGGGGCCCACCAGGGCCGCCGGGAAGCCCAGGCUCCCCAGGAGUCACAGGACCAAGUGGGAAGCCAGGAAAACCUGGAGAUCAUGGCAGACCAGGUCCAUCUGGGUUGAAAGGAGAAAAAGGUGAUAGGGGAGACAUUGCUUCCCAGAACAUGAUGCGAGCAGUUGCAAGACAAGUCUGUGAACAAUUGAUAAGUG